UGGGGAAUUUUGGACAAUGGGCGAAAGCCUGAUCCAGCAAUGCCGCGUGUGUGAAGAAGGCCUUCGGGUUGUAAAGCACUUUUGUCCGGAAAGAAAUCCUUGGCUCUAAUACAGUCGGGGGAUGACGGUACCGGAAGAAUAAGCACCGGCUAACUACGUGCCAGCAGCCGCGGUAAUACGUAGGGUGCAAGCGUUAAUCGGAAUUACUGGGCGUAAAGCGUGCGCAGGCGGUUUGCUAAGACCGAUGUGAAAUCCCCGGGCUCAACCUGGGAACUGCAUUGGUGACUGGCAGGCUAGAGUAUGGCAGAGGGGGGUAGAAUUCCACGUGUAGCAGUGAAAUGCGUAGAGAUGUGGAGGAAUACCGAUGGCGAAGGCAGCCCCCUGGGCCAAUACUGACGCUCAUGCACGAAAGCGUGGGGAGCAAAACAGGAUUAGAUACCCUGGUAGUCCACGCCCUAAACGAUGUCAACUAGUUGUUGGGGAUUCAUUCUUAGUAACGUAGCUAACGCGUGAAGUUGACCGCCUGGGGAGUACGGUCGCAAGAUUAAAACUCAAAUGAAUUGACGGGGUCAUAGCUGUUUCCU
This 584-nucleotide ribosomal RNA is filed under the name uncultured bacterium. RNAcentral describes it as "partial 16S ribosomal RNA". It matches the Rfam family "Bacterial small subunit ribosomal RNA", at positions 355 to 1375 of the family's 1533-position model. The record is from RNAcentral.